Molecule: long non-coding RNA, 1826 nt
Organism: Helianthus annuus (common sunflower)
Lineage: Eukaryota; Viridiplantae; Streptophyta; Magnoliopsida; Asterales; Asteraceae
Exons: 2
Source: RefSeq, a predicted model, not a curated record
CAAACUUGAAACAAGUUUGUAUUAAAUAAAACAUUCAAACACCAAAACACACACUUUAAGUGUGUGUUCUGGUCGUAAAUUACAAAGGAGCCAGAGAACUCCAUGGCUCAAACCCUAACUAGCAAAAAUCAAGCAAUUGAAGGGGCAAAUCAAGUCCAAAUCAAAAUCCGAAUACGAAUUAGUGAUCUCCAUUGAAAAAGGAGUUACGAGUUUGACGCUUAACGAGCUAGGUGGAGGCUUGAGAAAGAAGCGGUUAAACGAAUCAAGCGCGUGAAGAAAGGCGUAAACCGGAUGAGAGGUAAGUGUAAUUUUCGCACUUAUGAAGAUUACUCGUUUAUUCUAUACGAAAUAAUCGCGAUAACAAUAAUAUUGAAAUAUGGAUUUUUGUUAAGAUUACUUUGUGGUGUAAUCUAAUGAUGAGGAAAAAUGGUGAAAAUGGAAUUUGGUCAAGAGUCGACUAAUGUAAUUAAGGUUAAAAGCGUGCCCAUGGCGUAAGCCGAAAUGGGUUGAAUUAGUAAGAAAAGAGUUUAAGAGAUAAGGGAUUUGGUAAUAUAAUCCGGGAUGGGAUGGAUGUAUGAAUUGGACAUCAAAAACCAUGUUUUUGAUUUAAAUAGAUAACGUUGGGUAUAUAGUCCAAAUGGGUCAAAUGGUGGUGAUAACACCAUUUGACAAUACCGACUAAUGCGGUGGUCAAGUCUUAUGUUAACAGGAUCAAUUGGCGAAUCGGAUAAAUGCGUCGCCAUAGAUUGAGUGACAAUUAAAGCAAGGUACAAAACCGGGUCUAUUUGUUGUCCCGAGCCAGGUACGUAUAAAUAUGAUUAUAGCUAACGUACAAAUUUGGGCAAAUAAGAAGUGAAGGUCCUUCAUCAUAAAUGAAAGGUAAAAUGGACCAUUACGCCCUUGUAAGCUAAAUUGAAUAAAUGGCCUUUAACGGUAGUUUGGAAAUGAGUUUUAUGCUUAAUUAAAUGCUUACAAUAGGUACAAGAAGGAGGAAGAUGUAGGACUUUGGUUAAACGACUCUAUAUGGGUCUUACCGUAGAAUAACAAUCCGAGGAAAUAAAACUCGGAUUACAUAGAACAUUACAUAAAAAUUCACCACACAUAUAAUUGUGGUGGAAGAUUAUUUGAUAAAUAUUGUGGAAAUAAGAUGCUAGAAAUAGACGAGUAUGAUGUAUGCGGAAAAGUGCUUAAAUACCCUUAACGGGUCAAAAUAAUCAUUUAAGUAUAAACGAGAUUAAGAUUAUACAUAAACUUGUGAAUCGAACCUAAUAUGUUAGACAACAUUGAAAUUAUAAGGUUCAUGUGAAAUCGGGAUCAAACAGUCAUGUUUGUUUGAUAAAAUGCAUAAACGGGUUAAAAUUCGGUAAAAAGGUGAUGAGUCGAAGGCUUAAAAGUCUAAAAAUUUAUUUUAUUGGAUGUUGGGUUUCAACUCCAUAAGAUGGAGGAUUAAAUUACGGACGCGUAGGAAAAAGAAUCGGGUAAAACGGAUCAAUAACGAAGAAGUUAUGGCCGUUUCCGUAAAAACUGGCAUAGCUGAACUGAGCUGCAGACCUGCUGGAAAACGGUCUCUCUCGCGUGGCGCGAGGGAGCAACUGGGUUCCGUCGCGUGGCGCGAAAAACCCUGUUUUGGCGAAAAUUUUUUAUUUUAAUCAGUUUCGCUUCCCAGACUCGUUUAAAUACGUUUUAAGUUACGUAUGACUAAUCCAACUCAUGUUUUAUGAGUUUCAGGUAUAAUUUUAGCACCGGAGGACGAUCAAGCACAACGAAGAACCGAACACGAUCAAGAUAUAAGCUUCCGCACUUUGUAUCGUUGUUAUGUAAAAUGA